GAGGAGGAGAUGGUGAUGUUGAUUACAAGCACAUAUCUUAAAAACAAAUGUGUGGAAGAACUAAGUUCUGAAUUUCCUCCUU
Molecule: small nucleolar RNA, 82 nt
Organism: Scophthalmus maximus (turbot)
Lineage: Eukaryota; Metazoa; Chordata; Actinopteri; Pleuronectiformes; Scophthalmidae
Product: small nucleolar RNA, C/D box 121B
Source: Ensembl